RNAcentral lists this ribosomal RNA (370 nucleotides) under uncultured organism. RNAcentral's name for it is "bacterial SSU rRNA". It matches the Rfam family "Bacterial small subunit ribosomal RNA", at positions 526 to 896 of the family's 1533-position model. The record is from RNAcentral.
CGUAGGUGGCAAGCGUUGUCCGGAAUUAUUGGCGUAAGCGCGCGCAGGCGGUUCCUUAAGUCUGAUGUGAAAGCCCCCGGCUCAACCGGGGAAGGUCAUUGGAAACUGGGGAACUUGAGUGCAGAAGAGAAGAGCGGAAUUCCACGUGUAGCGGUGAAAUGCGUAGAGAUGUGGAGGAACACCAGUGGCGAAGGCGGCUCUUUGGUCUGUAACUGACGCUGAGGCGCGAAAGCGUGGGGAGCAAACAGGAUUAGAUACCCUGGUAGUCCACGCCGUAAACGAUGAGUGCUAAGUGUUAGAGGGUUUCCGCCCUUUAGUGCUGCAGCUAACGCAUUAAGCACUCCGCCUGGGGAGUACGGCCGCAAGGCUG